GGAGAGAUGGCAGAGUGGUUGAUUGCGUCGGUCUUGAAAACCGAAGUGCCGGUAACGGUACCGUGGGUUCGAAUCCCUCUCUCUCCGCCA
RNAcentral lists this transfer RNA (90 nucleotides) under Opitutales bacterium. RNAcentral's name for it is "tRNA-Ser". It matches the Rfam family "tRNA". From Rfam's summary of the family: Transfer RNA (tRNA) molecules are approximately 80 nucleotides in length. Their secondary structure includes four short double-helical elements and three loops (D, anti-codon, and T loops). The record is from RNAcentral. Lineage: Bacteria; Pseudomonadati; Verrucomicrobiota; Opitutia; Opitutales.